ACUCGGCACACGCUUCGAAGCGUCGGCACAUCUCGUAACAUCACUAAUUAACUCUGAUAUAAUAACUGUUGGUUUAUUUAUCGGUGGAGCAGCAGAACAUUUUCCACAGACAGUUUUCCUGCCCGUUGGCUUGUUUUAACCAGUUUUCUGCCUUCGACUGAUUCUACCAGCAGACACUGAAAGGACUCUGAUAGUUCGAGUGAAAGUAGCAGUUCCUCCUUAAGGUCAGAGAUUGCAGCAUCUGAGGGCCUCUUCAAAAGAAGACGUAGUUGAUGAAGGCGUUCUGGAGCAGGACCAGAAAGACCACGACCAAGCAGCCUUGAGAUCUUAGGCAGCGUCUCCCUCAGCUUCAGCUCCAGAGACGGCAGGCGGGACGAGUCAACGGAGGCCGGUUGGACGAAGGCAUGCAGCUGAGUACAAUCCAGAAAACAACAGAGGAGGAGUGCAGCAUCGUAUGUCUCUUAGAAAACAUCAUAGUAUAGCCUUUGGUAUGAAAGAGCGCCAUCAUAUACAUCGUAUAUUGUACAAAUAACAAGUCAAAGGAAAGAGAGACAUUUUUUUACUGAUUUACGGUAAUAAAUCAAUUUAAAAAUGGUGCUACUUUGGCUCUGAACCUUUAUCUACCUGUGGUCGCUCUGUCUUCUGGAGUGAUUUGAUUGGUUUUACGUCACAAAUAAAACUCCUUUAACUUAACAUCUGUAAACAAAAAAAAAACAAAACGUAUCAACAAAUUUUUCUGUUAAAGUUUGUGUUCUUGUAAGUUUAACUCCAAGAUUUUAAAUACUUUCAUUUACUGCAAAUGAAUAUCUACUCCAAAUGUCUCACUAAUAAUCAUUAUCAGCCUUAAAAACCCACAAAACACCCCUCUAUACUCCACCACACUUAGUACAGUCCGGUUCCCCCUUCUAUAAAUCUGCUUGGAAUCUUCCACUUCCUGUUUGUCAAAGUGGCCUUCUACCUGGACAGGUUUUGUUGGAGCUCAUGCAACAAACAUUUUGGGUAACUGCACUUUAAUAUGGAUGGAUGACACUGAAUUAGAGUCUGUUUUAAUGAGACUGAGUUAAGAUGUGUAGCUGUCAUUAAAUAGGAAAUUAUUUCUCUGAAUUCACAGAGAAAAGUCUGAAAUGUUUGCUAGGUUAGCGUCCCACAUGUACUUUGGCUCAGCUAAAGCUAACUCUCUCCAACUUCUGGAUCUCUUGAGUUGCUUCUUGUUAAAAUAUCUUGCUGUAGGUGCUGAAGCUCAGAAAGUCUGAGAUGUUUGUUCAAAAUAAGCUCAUUCUCAAGUCUUAUCUGAACUGUCUUCUUUUGUUUGAACUUUCCCUAAACUUAGGAGUUAAAGACAGAGCAGCACAUCCAGACUCAGUCUCAUUUAUGUAGAGAUUAAACUUCAGUGUCAUUCAUCGAUGUUAAAAUGCAGUUUUUCAAAUGCUUGUUGCACAUGCUCAUGACCAAACCAGUCCAGGUGGAAGACGAUGUGAAGAGAAAGCUCCAGAGGAUGAAUAUCACACAUUUACGUUGGAAAUAAAUGUCCUUUAGUUUGACAUUGUCAUGCAAAUGAUGUUCAAAUCUUUGUUGAGUGUUUUGUUGAUGUUGGUUUCUAAAUGUUUUUUGACACUCGGCCCCAAAGAUUAAAACCUUCUAUGGCUCACAAGCUGCAACAAUUCACACAUUAUCAACUAUCUUUCUGACUAAACUAAGAUAAAAAGUGAAAAACUGCCUGAUUCCUGCAUCAUGAAUGUAAAUCUUUUUGGUUUUUAUGACAGUAAACUUAAUAUGUUUGGGUUUGACAUUUUAUAAACCAAAACAAUAAAUGAAUUACUGGAGAAAACAAUCAACAGAUUAAUGGACAAAGAAAAUGUUUUCCAACAUAUAUGGCUGAAUUACUCCAACAUUAGAAGAUAUAUACAAUUUUAAUUCAAUUUUAUUUAUAGAAUUCCAAUUACAGGUCAAAUUGUCUCAAGACGCUUUAUUUUUAGAUUUUUUUUGUCAUAUUUAAAAUAUGACUAAGAAAUUUAAACCUCUUGAGUAAUCCAAUUUAUUUGUUUUUUAAGAGACUAAUCGGCAAUUAAAAUAACUUUCUCCACUAAAACUAAUAAACAUGAGGUCAAAUAGAAGGAAGAGUUUUAAAUACUGCAGUCCCACGACGACAAGAAUAAAGUUUGUCAACAAAAACUAAAUCAUCUGGUGGAUUCCAUGAAAGUCCUAAUAAAGGAUAAUAAAGUGUGAUACUAAAGAUUUGUGGUGUUAAAAAUGUCAAAGUACAGAUAUCAAGUUGAACAUCUUGGAUGGAGGUUGAUAAAAGUUGACCUUCUUUCAUUUCUGUGGAGCGACUCCAUGGAUUUUAUGGAUGGUGGUUAAAGACCUGCUCUUCUAGUGGUCUUCCUUCUAGUCGCUGUAAAAAGUCAGUCCAUCCUGGCCGACUUCAACACCUCUUCAUGACAGCUUGUUCUACCUCAGACCUGGUGGAAACUCCAGAAACUCGGGAAAACCUGUGGAGACUCGAAGAACUCGUGGAGACUCGAAGAACUCGUCGGGCGGGGGAAGGUGUGGUGGGUGGUGGGGGGGAGGUGGGGGAGUAGAGGGGGGAGGCCGCCACCCACCUCCCCGCCUACUCUCCGCCCUGACUCCACCCAGACUCCGCCUUGGCUCCACCCAUGUGGUGACUUCAGAACUACGAUGCCAAAGGGACGACGAAAUUAUUUCUUUGUAUCUGAUCUGUAGCUCAGUGAGUUAAGGAUUUGCCUAUGGAGCUGCAGGUCGCUGGUUCAAGACCAGACCCUUCUUAAGUUUUAUCAAAAGCCUGACAAAGACAAACAAAGAAAAAGGCCGGUGGUGGGUCUUGAACCUGCGACCCUCCGCUCUGUAGUCUCUCCUCUUAUCCCCCUGAGCUACUCGCUCAGAUACUAAAUUUCCUUUUUUUUGCGCAUUUAUCAUCUAUUUUUUGUCGUUUUCGAAUUUUUUUUAUCUCGAGUCUCGACUCGACCGUUUUUCUCAGGAGGUUGGACUUUCAGCCUUUGUGCUGGAGGGUGGAACCCUCAGUUCCAAGACUUUCCAAAGCCUCCAGACCUCCCGAGUCCUCAGGACCUGAGCUUUCACACAGUCUGAGGGCUGAAAUUUUCUAAGUCCCACAGUAGAUCUCUGUUAGUUUGAACCUUCAGACAGUCCAAGGACUGAUAUCUUCCAAGUUCCUGAGUAGUUCUCUGUUAGUUUGAACCUUCAGACAGUCUGAGGGCUGAAAUUUUCUAAGUCCCACAGUAGUUCUCUGUUAGAUUGAACUUUCAGACAGCCCAAGGACUGAUAUCUUCCAAGUUCCUGAGUAGUUCUCUGUUAGUUUGAACCUUCAGACAGUCUGAGGGCUGAAGUUUUAAAAGUUUCUCAGUACUUCUCUGUUAGUUUGAACCUUCAGACAGUCUGAGGGCUGAAAUUUUAAAAGUUUCUCAGUACUUCUCUGUUAGUUUGAACCUUUAGACAGUCUGAGGACUGAAAUCUUAAAAGUUUCUCAGUACUUCUCUGUUAGUUUGAACUUUCUGGUUAACAGAAGCCUUAAAACUUGUGACCGUGAGUCUUGAUUUCACAUUUAGACCAUCGAUCUGAGUUCUUCUCAGACUUCACCUGUGGGUUUUUUAGAAAUCCUGAACAAACUUUGAUUCUCUUCACUGAACAGUAAAGUUUGUGGAGAUCAGAAGGUAACAUUAGUUUGAUCGAUGCCUUCAACUACUAGUAGACUUUAUCUGGAAAGCAGUUUUCUGAAAUGAGUUCUUAGUAAAUCUGUCCACAAUCAAACCAAGAACAUAGAAAGAGGAAAUGUUUGAAGAAACAACUUGGUUUUCAUUUCAGACUAGAAAACGCUUCAAGACCUUUAUUGUUUUUGCUCUUUUUGAUAGUUUUAUUGUCUCUUCUGUUUAAUUUGAUCUUCUAAAGUUUAACUGGUGUCUUUUCAAAUGUUUUGUCUUUAGUUUGAUUCUUCUUAAAUGUUUAGUUUUGCUCUUUUCUCACCUUUUAUUCUUUUCUAAUGUCUGAUUUGAUUUCCAAAUGUUUUGUCUCUUUAAUGUUUGUUUUUUCAAAUGUUUAUCGGCUUGUUUGAAAAAUUUCCUUUUCUUUCCCAAUGUUCAAUUUUUCGAUUAAAUCUUUAAGGUUUUUCUUUUUAAAUGUUUUACCACCUUUUAAUGUUUAAUUUUCUUUUUAAAUGCUUC
This is a long non-coding RNA of Amphiprion ocellaris (clown anemonefish), 4193 nucleotides long. NCBI's taxonomy places the organism in Eukaryota, Metazoa, Chordata, Actinopteri, Pomacentridae. The record is from Ensembl.